CUAAAAUAGACCCUUUCUAGGUCUCAAUUUAAUCUCAGAACAAACAUCUGCUACUUUGAAGAACUUCAAACUUCCAGGUCAUUUUGAGAUACAUUCAUAAUUUACUACAAUAGAUGUGUUAUCUGUUUGAGAUGUUAAUCCUGGAAGAAAAAAAAAAAGUUCCUUAAAACCUAAUGCAGUUACUAUGGUGCCACGACCAUGGUAACUGCUACCAUGGUAACUGAGUUUGUGAAGCUAACCUGCUGACUGGCAGGUUUUCUUCAGCAAACUGCGGUUUUUCCCUGAGGCUUCCUCUCUGCUUUUCAGGCUGGAGCAGCUGUCUGACACACGGUUUCUUUCCUUCCCACCCCUACAGCGUAUAUCAACACUUGGGCAGGAGCCAUCUCUGCAGACAUUUCAGGCACUUUGAAAUCCUGACCCACCGUCUGCAGCCUCCUCAUCAUCCUGGCUGUCUGGGGGACCGCAGCCAAAGUCUCCAUCAGCCAUCUGUUACCCUGUGAGAACACAAACAGCAGACAGUGGACUGGCCACAGGUGCCAGAGACCGUGGCAGCUGCGGAUGAAAGGAAUGUCUCCGACGGCCUUCAAUAUUGAGGAGAUUUGGCUUCUUGGCUUCUGUGCGGCACCUUGUUUUUGCUCUUCUGAAGUCUGGAAUUAUAGGAAUGUUCCAGCUGUGCUUAGACAGUAAAAUAAACUUUGGAAAAAAGGUAAAGAACUUGAAAACAUAGGGUUUAAAAUCACUAAAACUCAGCAUGGACACAGGUACAUUUCAGCUAUUGUUUAGUCAUCCUCUUUCAGUUCACUCUCUACCACCAGACCUUAAGUUCCAGUGUUUAUUUUUUUGACUUUCAUAAAUCUUCCACUCUUUACAUUAUUUGUGUAAUUCCAGUGGAUUCUGAAUUGGAGAAAAGCAGUUUUACACUGAUAUACAACAGGAUACAGUAAAUGUUUACGUAAUCAUUGUAAAUAUGCCGAUUCUGUCCCUCUGCACCACUAUGUAACACUUUAUGAUACUAAUCGGCUCCAU
Molecule: long non-coding RNA, 1026 nt
Organism: Oryzias melastigma (Indian medaka)
Lineage: Eukaryota; Metazoa; Chordata; Actinopteri; Beloniformes; Adrianichthyidae
Exons: 3
Source: RefSeq, a predicted model, not a curated record